CCUACGGGAGGCAGCAGUGGGGAAUAUUGGACAAUGGGGGGAACCCUGAUCCAGCCAUGCCGCGUGUGUGAAGAAGGCCCUCGGGUUGUAAAGCACUUUCAGUGAGGAAGAACGCCUGGUGGUUAAUACCCAUCAGGAAAGACAUCACUCACAGAAGAAGCACCGGCUAACUCCGUGCCAGCAGCCGCGGCAAUACGGAGGGUGCGAGCGUUAAUCGGAAUUACUGGGCGUAAAGCGCGCGUAGGUGGCUUGAUAAGCCGGUUGUGAAAGCCCCGGGCUCAACCUGGGAACGGCAUCCGGAACUGUCAAGCUAGAGUGCAGGAGAGGAAGGUAGAAUUCCCGGUGUAGCGGUGAAAUGCGUAGAGAUCGGGAGGAAUACCAGUGGCGAAGGCGGCCUUCUGGACUGACACUGACACUGAGGUGCGAAAGCGUGGGUAGCAAACAGGAUUAGAUACCCCAGUAGUC
Molecule: ribosomal RNA, 465 nt
Filed under: Vreelandella stevensii
Lineage: Bacteria; Pseudomonadati; Pseudomonadota; Gammaproteobacteria; Oceanospirillales; Halomonadaceae
Description: partial 16S ribosomal RNA
Rfam family: Bacterial small subunit ribosomal RNA
Source: RNAcentral